UACGUAGGUGGCAAGCGUUAUCCGGAUUUAUUGGGCGUAAAGGGAACGCAGGCGGUCUCUUAAGUCUGAUGUGAAAGCCUUCGGCUUAACCGGAGUAGUGCAUUGGAAACUGGGAGACUUGAGUGCAGAAGAGGAGAGUGGAACUCCAUGUGUAGCGGUGAAAUGCGUAGAUAUAUGGAAGAACGCCAGUGGCGAAAGCGGCUCUCUGGUCUGUAACUGACGCUGAGGUUCGAAAGCGUGGGUAGCAAACAGG
This 253-nucleotide ribosomal RNA is filed under the name uncultured bacterium. RNAcentral describes it as "partial 16S ribosomal RNA". It matches the Rfam family "Bacterial small subunit ribosomal RNA", at positions 524 to 776 of the family's 1533-position model. The record is from RNAcentral.